UACAGAGGCCCCAAGCGUUACUGAGAAUCACUGGGUUUAAAGGGUGCGUAGGUGGUCCGUUAAGUUCGUUGUGAAAUCCCUGGGCUCAACCCAGGAAAUGCUUCGAAUACUGGCGGACUUGAGGCUAGUAGGGGUCACUGGAACUGACGGUGGAGCGGUGAAAUGCGUAGAUAUCGUCAGGAACGCCAAUGGUGAAGACAGGUGACUGGGCUAGUUCUGACACUGAGGCACGAAAGUCAGGGGAGCAAACGGG
RNAcentral lists this ribosomal RNA (253 nucleotides) under uncultured bacterium. Its description in RNAcentral is "partial 16S ribosomal RNA". It matches the Rfam family "Bacterial small subunit ribosomal RNA", at positions 524 to 776 of the family's 1533-position model. The record is from RNAcentral.